RNAcentral lists this ribosomal RNA (476 nucleotides) under uncultured soil bacterium. Its description in RNAcentral is "bacterial SSU rRNA". It matches the Rfam family "Bacterial small subunit ribosomal RNA", at positions 26 to 518 of the family's 1533-position model. The record is from RNAcentral.
AGGACGAACGCUGGCGGCGUGCCUAACACAUGCAAGUCGAACGAGGUCCAUGCAGUGGCAACACUGCGGAAGACCUAGUGGCGAACGGGUGAGUAACACGUGAGGAACUUGCCCCGGAGACCGGGAUAACCCUUCGAAAGGAGGGCUAAUACCGGAUGUCCUCACCGAGUCGCAUGGCUUGGUGAGGAAAUGGAUUCCGCUCCGGGAGAGCCUCGCGGCCUAUCAGCUAGUUGGUGGGUAACGGCCACCAAGGCAUCGACGGGUAGCUGGUCUGAGAGGACGAUCAGCCACACUGGGACUGAGACACGGCCAGACUCCUACGGGAGGCAGCAGUGGGGAAUCUUGCGCAAUGGGCGAAAGCCUGACGCAGCAACGCCGCGUGCGGGAUGAAGGCCUUCGGUGUAAACCGCUUUCAGUGGGACGAACCAAGACGGUACCCACAGAAGAAGCCCGACCAACUACGUGCCAGCAGCCGC